GGAAAGUAUGAGAUACUUGUCCUAAAAAUCAGAUUGUUCAUGUGUUGAACAUAAAAUCUGAUUUGUGUAUGGUGAGAUCUUUUGAUGAAAGAUUUCUAAAGAAAUCUUAGUAGAGGUCAUAAAGGCAUACAAGUGGUAGUGCAACCAGUUCUUGCAAAGGACGGUCGGCAGCAAGCUUGCGAAGAAGGUUGCAGCACCAUGAUGAGUUGGAAAGGACCC
This 219-nucleotide long non-coding RNA is filed under the name Elaeis guineensis (African oil palm). RNAcentral's name for it is "long non-coding RNA (EGUI_LNC047910)". Lineage: Eukaryota; Viridiplantae; Streptophyta; Magnoliopsida; Arecales; Arecaceae. The record is from RNAcentral.